This 468-nucleotide ribosomal RNA is filed under the name uncultured bacterium. Its description in RNAcentral is "partial 16S ribosomal RNA". It matches the Rfam family "Bacterial small subunit ribosomal RNA", at positions 28 to 507 of the family's 1533-position model. The record is from RNAcentral.
GACGAACGCUGGCGGCGUGCUUAACACAUGCAAGUCGAACGGAAAGGCCCUGCUUUUGUGGGGUGCUCGAGUGGCGAACGGGUGAGUAACACGUGAGUAACCUGCCCUUGACUUUGGGAUAACUUCAGGAAACUGGGGCUAAUACCGGAUAGGAGCUCCUGCUGCAUGGUGGGGGUUGGAAAGUUUCGGCGGUUGGGGAUGGACUCGCGGCUUAUCAGCUUGUUGGUGGGGUAGUGGCUUACCAAGGCUUUGACGGGUAGCUGGCCUGAGAGGGUGACCGGCCACAUUGGGCCUGAGAUACGGCCCAGACUCCUACGGGAGGCAGCAGUGGGGAAUAUUGCACAAUGGGCGGAAGCCUGAUGCAGCAACGCCGCGUGCGGGAUGACGGCCUUCGGGUUGUAAACCGCUUUCGCCUGUGACGAAGCGUGAGUGACGGUAAUGGGUAAAGAAGCACCGGCUAACUACGUG